CAGCCGCCGCGGGAAUACGUAGGUGGCAAGCGUUGUCCGGAAUUAUUGGGCGUAAAGCGCGCGCAGGUGGUUUAAUAAGUCUGAUGUGAUAGCCCACGGCUCAACCGUGGAGGGUCAUUGGAAACUGUUAAACUUGAGUGCAGGAGAGAAAAGUGGAAUUCCUAGUGUAGCGGUGAAAUGCGUGGAGAUUAGGAGGAACACCAGUGGCGAAGGCGGCUUUUUGGCCUGUAACUGACACUGAGGCGCGAAAGCGUGGGGAGCAAACAGGAUUGGAUACCCCCGUAGUCCCUGUCUCUUAUAC
Molecule: ribosomal RNA, 301 nt
Filed under: uncultured bacterium
Lineage: Bacteria
Description: partial 16S ribosomal RNA
Rfam family: Bacterial small subunit ribosomal RNA
Source: RNAcentral